Molecule: long non-coding RNA, 109 nt
Organism: Sander lucioperca (pikeperch)
Lineage: Eukaryota; Metazoa; Chordata; Actinopteri; Perciformes; Percidae
Exons: 3
Source: RefSeq, a predicted model, not a curated record
AGAUAUCCUUCUUCAUUUCACUAAGGUUUACAAGCAGUGGAAUUCUCACUUAGGAAAAAUGAAGAAAGAAAAAUAGGUGUUUAAGUUUAAGAUGUUUUCUUUCACUUUA